UUGCCAUUAUUCUGGUUAUAGUCAUACGGGAUAGGAAAAUUAAACUUUGUGAGAACGAAACAGAAAGUCCUUUGGUACCAAAACACACGAAAGUUAUACCAACAGAUAAAUGUCCUACCUCUACUACAGAGUCACAACCAAGCCACUAUUGUGAGCAGAAAUUGAAAGGAACGCCCGUCACAAGCUUACCGUGUGAUAACGAAGAUAAAUACAAACCCACUACUCAUUUACAGAGAUAAAAUGAAAAAGCGGAAUUGUUUAACAUUAUCAUGUCAUACGCCACAUGGCAAAACUCCUGCACGCAUUAGGACAGCUUAAUUUUGCAUUUUACUCUUGUCGGAAGUCCUCGGCUAUCAUAUAUGUUCUUAACUGAAGUUUGACGGAAAUGGUCGAGAAGAUGCGAUUGCGUUGUCCUUAUCUGAAGUUUUACGGCAUGGGUCAAUAAUAUAAGAGUCUGUUUUGUAAAAUGUAUUGAAUAUAACACAAUGUAAUUUACAUUGUAUUGUACAUAAAUAACAUUUUAGAGAUUAGGUGAAUGAGCAGGCAUCACAUUUUACAUUCAUCCACACAUUGAUUGUGCAUUCAAAUAUUUACGUGACAUUGUCUAAUUUAUGUUGUUUUACACAUGUAUAUACUCCCUACUGAAAAAAACAUAAUAUUGAUCAAAACAGAACUUGAACACUUUGAUGUUACUACAAACUUAGUUUUAUAUGCGCUUUGGAAUAGCGGAGCGGUAUAAAAUGUGACAGUCAAACGUAGUGAAUUCAGGAUUGAUUUUGUGACCAACGGUCGUUUCAUGAGGAAAAUCUUGCAAGUAUUCCGCUGUGUUUAAUACAUCGUCAUAUAGAAGUCCCUUUAUAUGAUUUUAUAAAAUAAGUAUAUUUCGACAAGUUGUGGCUUAGAUAUUAAUACUUAAUGAAGUUGUUAAAUAAAAAAUAAAUCUGAUAUUUUGUACUGAAUAUUGUUGACAUACAGUAUCGGACAAACAAAUUAUUUUAAUCAGGUAUUUGUCAUGGGCACUUGAUAGUUGAUCGAUUACCCUUUGUGACAGACUACCCGCCGUGAUUUGAUCAACGUGCCUAUGGUUUAUGUGUAACUUGCUCAGAGUCUUUGUCAAAUACAAAAAUAAAAUGAACAGGGUAAAUGUGACACAAGUAUAAGAACUGUUCUGUUAACUUCUUAAAGAAUUAUAAUUUCAUUUACAGUUUGAGAAACGAACCUAUAUUUUCUGUUUCAUCGGAGAUAAGAGAUCAAUUAUUUCGGUUCCAAAUGAAUUGUGUUUCUGUCAUCAUCAAUUUCGAGAAUAUUAAUAAGACAUUUCCUUGCUCUAUCAUAUGAACAUUUUUAAGAAGGAUUUCUUUGACUUGACUUGUUUACUAAUCGGCUUAUGAAGUCUCCUAAACAGCUUUCUGUUUUGAGUUAUAGAAAGGGAAAAUAAUUCAAUGGCACUUCGACAUAAAAUAAACAUGUAAUAUUAUAUAUUCUUUCUCUGAACAGCAUGCUUAGUUGAAAUAAAAAAUAAUAAGAAUAAAUUUUAUUCAAUGUUCAUGUAUCUAUAUCAGCACGAGUUUUUGUAGAAUGUGUGAAAUAGUUAUUUAUAGAUUUUUGGAUUCCCAUUAUUUGGAACACAUAACCAUCCGAAUAUAGACGGAAAGGAUCGAAAAGUUGCGAUUGAAAAGUUGGACACACGAUAAAAUGCGACACAAUAUCUAAGUAAGUCAAGGAUACCGAAAUAAAAUCCCCCUUUUAAAGACUGUUUUAGUGAUAAAAAGAUAAAGUAUAAACUUUAUGUACAUAAAUUUUGGAAUUUAUCCAAUUUAUUAUAUGGGAUCCUGAAAUGCCAUGGUUAUUUCAAAAUGUUGUUUA
This is a long non-coding RNA of Ruditapes philippinarum (Manila clam), 1866 nucleotides long. RefSeq lists it as uncharacterized. The record is from RefSeq and is a predicted model, not a curated record. The transcript is spliced from 3 exons. Lineage: Eukaryota; Metazoa; Mollusca; Bivalvia; Venerida; Veneridae.